RNAcentral lists this ribosomal RNA (440 nucleotides) under uncultured bacterium. RNAcentral's name for it is "partial 16S ribosomal RNA". It matches the Rfam family "Bacterial small subunit ribosomal RNA", at positions 338 to 795 of the family's 1533-position model. The record is from RNAcentral.
CCUACGGGGGGCAGCAGUGGGGGAUAUUGCACAAUGGGGGAAACCCUGAUGCAGCGACGCCGCGUGGGUGAAGAAGCGCCUCGGCGCGUAAAGCCCUGUCAGCAGGGAAGAAAAUGACGGUACCUGAAGAAGAAGCCCCGGCUAACUACGUGCCAGCAGCCGCGGUAAUACGUAGGGGGCAAGCGUUAUCCGGAUGUACUGGGGGUAAAGGGGGCGCAGACGGCGGUGCAAGCCAGGAGUGAAAGCCCGGGGCCCCACCCCGGGACUGCUCGUGGCACUGCGUGGCUAGAGUGCAGGAGGGGAAGGAGGAAUUCCUGGUGGAGCGGUGAAAUGCGUAGAUAUCAGGAGGAACACCGGUGGCGAAGGCGGCCUGCUGGACUGCAACUGACGUUGAUGCCCGAAAGCGUGGGGAGCAAACAGGAUUAGAUACCCUGGUAGUC